UCCUGAUGGAAGUAUUACUGGAUUGGUCUUACCUGCGAUGACAUGGUUGGUGAAGGGUCUUCUGUAUUCUCUAUAUUCUGAAAGAGAAAUGAUUCAGAUGAAAGGAAAGAAGAAGUGAUACCAAGUUGCAACGAUGGAUGUGAUAGCACCGAAGGAGGCAAUUCCCUGACCCAAGCCUGCCACUCUCGUCUUCUAGCUCCUCACUCCAUUUUGACCAUGAUGUGCACAUCCAUACCCAUUUAUAUGGGUAUGACGACCUUGUUUCUGCAAUCCAAGCUCUGUCAAUACUCAGGACUGAGUCUUACACCAUCAGCGUUUCUGGUUCUCAGGACUCACACUGAAAUUUAUACCUCUGGCUUUUGUGAGUCUCCAGCUUGCAGAAGGCAGCUCUUGAGACUUCCGUUUCCAUAACCACAUAAGGACUGAGCUCUAUGUAAUUGUGUUUUGAAGUCUGGAAAAUAAGGAGGAGCUAGCAAAGGAAUUGAGAAGUGAUGAACUAGAAUGAGGAAUAAACAAAAUG
Molecule: long non-coding RNA, 520 nt
Organism: Mustela erminea (ermine)
Lineage: Eukaryota; Metazoa; Chordata; Mammalia; Carnivora; Mustelidae
Exons: 3
Source: RefSeq, a predicted model, not a curated record